Molecule: long non-coding RNA, 1486 nt
Filed under: Marmota monax (woodchuck)
Lineage: Eukaryota; Metazoa; Chordata; Mammalia; Rodentia; Sciuridae
Source: RNAcentral
AGGUUUGCUGUCUCACUAGAUAAGUAAUCUGCACAGUAGUGAUCUGCACAGUAGUCUGGCUUGGGAAAAGAAACUCACAUCAUCUUCCAGCAAAUUUACUGGAUAUUAUAACUAGAAGCCAUUUUAAGAAGGAACCUAUUACCUUUAUUUGGACUGCUGUAGAGAUCAGAAACUCUGCAUGUUCACAUCUCUUGGAACAAAAUUCAUUUCACUGCAUGGGUUCAGUGGGUAGUUGCCUAAUGAACUUAACAUGUCACAGUAGAGUUACUCUGACACAAGCCAACUCAGAGUGACGCACUAUAGGGAACAGGUGUUCCAAUUCAGAUUAACUGGAAGUCACCUUCCUGAAGACCUGGAGUUUGGGGGAGCCUGCCUUCCAAGGUCAGGGGUAUGGUAAAUCACACCUGUUUAUAUCCCAGUGCCAGAACAAAAGGCAUUCACUCAUAUGGUUCCUAUCACCCCUUCCCCAGUGCUGUACAUGGAUACCUGUCGAUAACAAUGUGAGGAAAACACUCUCUGAUUCUGUUUGUGCCCCACCCAAAAGGGUGGUCUUGAGCAAUGCCACAGCUCUGGCUAUUGCCACACCAACUGUCACCUCACCCUUGGGUCACAUAGCCUUAAAAUAUCCAGAGAGAAACUUUUCCUGGUGCCAGCCACAUGCUACUGUCAUUCACUCCACUGAACACUUCAGUUGAAAGGGAUUUUGUCUGGCUCCAUUUAUAACCCACUGCUGCUCAAUUCCUGGUGGGCACUACCACUGAAAGAAUUGGGGAGAGAAAAGCGGCAACCAUUGUUUUGUCCUCUGGUGUAUAUGACGAGGGAGGUGGCCAUGCUCACAGUGGCAACAGAGAACACAACAAAUACUGCUGCCAGUAAACCUACCUACACAGGCUCCACUAUUGGCCACUCCUACACUUUGUCUGGCCACUCUCUGCUGAACAAACUGGAUUCAUAUGCCACAGAGGGAACACCAUAAUUCAUGGCCUUGCCUCCACCUGUGAAUUACCAGGGCCCACAACAAGUAUCCUAUCCCUCUCACCACUAUUUGUGUACCUAGUGCCAGAGUAAUAGAACCAGAUCAAUAGUGCCUAAGGAAACCUCCAUAAUCUAUAGGGACUACCCCUCUCAGUUAGAGAGUAGUUACACAGUGUUUACUCCACUUACUUUGUGUCUACAUCACAUUGCCUGAACAUUUAGAUUAUCCCAACAAUUGCUUGAUUUGUAGAAACAGUGGGCCUUUCCAACUUCAAUAUGGUAUGCAAUGUGACCAAACUUCAUAAUUUCAGCCAAAGAAACCACAAAGAGAUUAUAAUAUACUGCUCUUAUGAAUAUAAACUCAACAUUGCCUAACAAACUGAUACCCCAAGAAACAUCUACAGAGCAAAACCACUUAUUAAGAAGGCCAUUCCAUAAAAGUGGUAGAAAUAUCCAUUCCACCAGAGGUACAACUCAUAGGAAUAUAGGAAUAAAAGAAAUAUGAAAAAAG